Molecule: ribosomal RNA, 467 nt
Filed under: uncultured bacterium
Lineage: Bacteria
Description: partial 16S ribosomal RNA
Rfam family: Bacterial small subunit ribosomal RNA
Source: RNAcentral
GACGAACGCUGGCGGCGUGCUUAACACAUGCAAGUCGAACGGAAAGGCCCUGCUUUUGUGGGGUGCUCGAGUGGCGAACGGGUGAGUAACACGUGAGUAACCUGCCCUUGACUUUGGGAUAACUUCAGGAAACUGGGGCUAAUACCGGAUAGGAGCUCCUGCUGCAUGGUGGGGGUUGGAAAGUUUCGGCGGUUGGGGAUGGACUCGCGGCUUAUCAGCUUGUUGGUGGGGUAGUGGCUUACCAAGGCUUUGACGGGUAGCCGGCCUGAGAGGGUGACCGGCCACAUUGGGACGGAGAUACGGCCCAGACUCCUACGGGAGGAAGCAGGGGGGAAUAUUGCACAAUGGGCGGAAGCCUGAUGCAGAAACGCCGCGUGCGGGAUGACGGCCUUCGGGUUGUAAACCGCUUUCGCCUGUGACGAAGCGUGAGUGACGGUAAUGGGUAAGAAGCACCGGCUAACUACGUG